Dreissena polymorpha is the source of this 323-nucleotide long non-coding RNA. RefSeq lists it as uncharacterized. The record is from RefSeq and is a predicted model, not a curated record. The transcript is spliced from 3 exons. NCBI's taxonomy places the organism in Eukaryota, Metazoa, Mollusca, Bivalvia, Myida, Dreissenidae.
GCCCACUGUUUCCAAUUGUAGCACUUUGAUUUUCAGACUGUGGUACUGUUUGACGUGGUCGCAGUUUAAAAGGGAGAACGAGUGGACCCCGAGAACGAUUACACGCAUUCAAGACAUCGUUAGCCACAGAAUCACCCAAUCGCACGACACUUUCCAGACUGUGGUACUGUUUGACGUGGUCGCAGUUUAGAAGGGAGAACGAGUGGACCCCGAGAACGAUUACACGCAUUCAAGACAUCGUUAGCCACAGAAUCACCCAAUCGCACGACACUUUCCAGACUGUGGUACUGUUUGACGUGGUCGCAGUUUAAAAGGGAAAACGA